AAAAAGGAAAAGGGGAGAGGGGGAAGAGGAAAGUGUGGGGGGGCGGUUGAAAGACCGCCUAGCGGGGGGGGGGGGGGGGGGGGGUACUUCCCCCCCCCUGCUUUUUUUACACUUUCUCCAACAAAACUACGCCGUUUCCCUUUUUUUUGCCUCCACAGGGGGGUUUUUUUUGCGGGGGGUCCAAACUUUCCAUACCUAUCUCCGGACCCAAAAGGCGCUGAGGGGUGUUUUAAAAAAUAAGGAACCAAAAUCCCCGGGGUUCUGGCGCCGCCCACAGUUUCCAUGUAUUUUUUAGCGGUCGGCGCGUGCCGGGGGGGGGCUUUUCUCUUUCCUGUCUGGGGAGGCGUUUAUAUAGUCGAGCCCCCCCGGGAAGGGGGGGCCCCUCUUUGUUGUGUGUUUUUUAGGUUUUUUUCUCGCUCAGAUGAACGCUGGCGGCAGGCCUAACACAUGCAAGUCGAGCGGAUGAAGGGAGCUUGCUCCUGGAUUCAGCGGCGGACGGGUGAGUAAUGCCUAGGAAUCUGCCUGGUAGUGGGGGAUAACGUCCGGAAACGGGCGCUAAUACCGCAUACGUCCUGAGGGAGAAAGUGGGGGAUCUUCGGACCUCACGCUAUCAGAUGAGCCUAGGUCGGAUUAGCUAGUUGGUGGGGUAAAGGCCUACCAAGGCGACGAUCCGUAACUGGUCUGAGAGGAUGAUCAGUCACACUGGAACUGAGACACGGUCCAGACUCCUACGGGAGGCAGCAGUGGGGAAUAUUGGACAAUGGGCGAAAGCCUGAUCCAGCCAUGCCGCGUGUGUGAAGAAGGUCUUCGGAUUGUAAAGCACUUUAAGUUGGGAGGAAGGGCAGUAAGUUAAUACCUUGCUGUUUUGACGUUACCAACAGAAUAAGCACCGGCUAACUUCGUGCCAGCAGCCGCGGUAAUACGAAGGGUGCAAGCGUUAAUCGGAAUUACUGGGCGUAAAGCGCGCGUAGGUGGUUCAGCAAGUUGGAUGUGAAAUCCCCGGGCUCAACCUGGGAACUGCAUCCAAAACUACUGAGCUAGAGUACGGUAGAGGGUGGUGGAAUUUCCUGUGUAGCGGUGAAAUGCGUAGAUAUAGGAAGGAACACCAGUGGCGAAGGCGACCACCUGGACUGAUACUGACACUGAGUCGAAGAUAC
Molecule: ribosomal RNA, 1157 nt
Filed under: Pseudomonas aeruginosa
Lineage: Bacteria; Pseudomonadati; Pseudomonadota; Gammaproteobacteria; Pseudomonadales; Pseudomonadaceae
Description: bacterial SSU rRNA
Rfam family: Bacterial small subunit ribosomal RNA (bases 395-1157)
Source: RNAcentral